Molecule: ribosomal RNA, 253 nt
Filed under: uncultured bacterium
Lineage: Bacteria
Description: partial 16S ribosomal RNA
Rfam family: Bacterial small subunit ribosomal RNA
Source: RNAcentral
GACGUAGGAGACAAACGUUAUCCGGAGUUACUGGGCGUAAAGGGCGCGUAGGCGGUCAUGUAAGUCUGGCGUGAAAUUUUUCGGCUUAACCGGGAAAGGUCGUCGGAUACUGUAUGACUAGAGGACGGUAGAGGCGUGUGGAAUUCCGGGUGUAGUGGUGAAAUGCGUAGAGAUCCGGAGGAACACCAGUGGCGAAGGCGACACGCUGGGCCGUACCUGACACUGAGGCGCGAUAGCAUGGGGAGCAAACAGG